UACGGAGGGUGCGAGCGUUAAUCGGAAUUACUGGGCGUAAAGCGCGCGCAGGCGGCCUUUUAAGUUGGAUGUGAAAGCCUAUGGCUCAACCAUAGAACUGCAUCCAAAACUAUCAGGCUAGAGUGUGGGAGAGGAAGAUGGAAUUAGUUGUGUAGGGGUAAAAUCCGUAGAGAUAACUAGGAAUACCAAAAGCGAAGGCAAUCUUCUGGAACAUUACUGACGCUGAGGCGCGAAAGCGUGGGGAGCAAACAGG
RNAcentral lists this ribosomal RNA (253 nucleotides) under uncultured bacterium. RNAcentral's name for it is "partial 16S ribosomal RNA". It matches the Rfam family "Bacterial small subunit ribosomal RNA", at positions 524 to 776 of the family's 1533-position model. The record is from RNAcentral.